This 465-nucleotide ribosomal RNA is filed under the name Vreelandella stevensii. RNAcentral's name for it is "partial 16S ribosomal RNA". It matches the Rfam family "Bacterial small subunit ribosomal RNA", at positions 338 to 795 of the family's 1533-position model. The record is from RNAcentral. Lineage: Bacteria; Pseudomonadati; Pseudomonadota; Gammaproteobacteria; Oceanospirillales; Halomonadaceae.
CCUACGGGGGGCUGCAGUGGGGAAUAUUGGACAAUGGGGGCAACCCUGAUCCAGCCAUGCCGCGUGUGUGAAGAAGGCCCUCGGGUUGUAAAGCACUUUCAGUGAGGAAGAACGCCUGGUGGUUAAUACCCAUCAGGAAAGACAUCACUCACAGAAGAAGCACCGGCUAACUCCGUGCCAGCAGCCGCGGUAAUACGGAGGGUGCGAGCGUUAAUCGGAAUUACUGGGCGUAAAGCGCGCGUAGGUGGCUUGAUAAGCCGGUUGUGAAAGCCCCGGGCUCAACCUGGGAACGGCAUCCGGAACUGUCAAGCUAGAGUGCAGGAGAGGAAGGUAGAAUUCCCGGUGUAGCGGUGAAAUGCGUAGAGAUCGGGAGGAAUACCAGUGGCGAAGGCGGCCUUCUGGACUGACACUGACGCUGAGGUGCGAAAGCGUGGGUAGCAAACAGGAUUAGAUACCCCAGUAGUC